UGGGGAAUCUUGCGCAAUGGGGGAAACCCUGACGCAGCGACGCCGCGUGAGUGAUGAAGGCCUUCGGGUUGUAAAGCUCUGUGGAGGGAGACGAAUAAGUGUUGGCUAACAUCCAGCAUGAUGACGGUAUCCCUUUAGCAAGCACCGGCUAACUCUGUGCCAGCAGCCGCGGUAAGACAGAGGGUGCAAACGUUGUUCGGAAUUACUGGGCGUAAAGCGCGUGUAGGCUGCUCUGCAAGUCAGGUGUGAAAGCCCUGGGCUCAACCUAGGAAGUGCACUUGAAACUGCGGAGAUUGAGUACUGGAGAGGGAAGCGGAAUUCUCGGUGUAGAGGUGAAAUUCGUAGAUAUCGAGAGGAACACCGGUGGCGAAGGCGGCUUCCUGGACAGUUACUGACGCUGAGACGCGAAAGCGUGGGGAGCAAACAGG
RNAcentral lists this ribosomal RNA (428 nucleotides) under uncultured bacterium. RNAcentral's name for it is "bacterial SSU rRNA". It matches the Rfam family "Bacterial small subunit ribosomal RNA", at positions 355 to 776 of the family's 1533-position model. The record is from RNAcentral.